GAUGAACGCUGGCGGCGUGCCUAAUACAUGCAAGUCGAGCGAACAGACGAGGAGCUUGCUCCUCUGACGUUAGCGGCGGACGGGUGAGUAACACGUGGAUAACCUACCUAUAAGACUGGGAUAACUUCGGGAAACCGGAGCUAAUACCGGAUAAUAUAUUGAACCGCAUGGUUCAAUAGUGAAAGACGGUUUUGCUGUCACUUAUAGAUGGAUCCGCGCCGCAUUAGCUAGUUGGUAAGGUAACGGCUUACCAAGGCAACGAUGCGUAGCCGACCUGAGAGGGUGAUCGGCCACACUGGAACUGAGACACGGUCCAGACUCCUACGGGAGGCAGCAGUAGGGACUCUUGCGCAAUGGGCGCAAGCCUGACGGAGCAACGCCGCGUGAGUGAUGAAGGUCUUCGGAUCGUAAAACUCUGUUAUUAGGGACGAACAAAUGUGUAAGUAACUAUGCACGUAUUGACGGUACCUAAUCAGAAAGCCACGGCUAACUACGUG
RNAcentral lists this ribosomal RNA (497 nucleotides) under uncultured bacterium. RNAcentral's name for it is "partial 16S ribosomal RNA". It matches the Rfam family "Bacterial small subunit ribosomal RNA", at positions 28 to 507 of the family's 1533-position model. The record is from RNAcentral.